This is a non-coding RNA of Rattus norvegicus (Norway rat), 757 nucleotides long. The record is from RefSeq and is a predicted model, not a curated record. Lineage: Eukaryota; Metazoa; Chordata; Mammalia; Rodentia; Muridae.
UGGAUCUCUGCAUCAGUCAUUGACUAUAGCUGACUCUGAGAUUUUCUGGAGGAGGAAGCUUCCAUUCUGCUGACAAUGAAGGUUCUUGUCCCCAAUUGGUUUUUGAUCUAUCAAUAAAGAUGACAGUAGCCAAUGGAUGAGAAGGGAGCAGAACACUGAGAGGACACAGGAGAUAAAGCCAACCAAUUUUUGGAACCAAACCCAGAUUGGAGCACUGCAUAAACUCCACAUUUCAGCUAUACCAAUGACUGCCACAAAUGCAGACAGUUCCCUGAGCGCUAAUUCCCCUAUUACUCCUUGAGGAAGCUUGACGUCCGGGCAAAGGAAGUUAACUGAAAGACUGGCAAGAGAUCCUUCAACUGCUGUGAAAGUAGGUACAUACGUGGAGGCCGAGCGAAGCCUGCUGCCACAGGAGCUCAGCUUUCCUGCUCAUCACUUCCUCAUGGUCCUCCCUGUGAGGAUGUGAGAAGCUUCACACAACAGGAGUGAACCCUCAGGUGACUGAUACCACCACUGUUGUGAUCUUGGAUUCUUCACCUUUCAAAACUAGGAGCAAUAAACCUGUUAUCUAUAAACUACCCAUUUUUUUUCUUUCUUUUCCUGCCCCCUUUUAUUUUAUUUUUUACCCAUUUUUUUCAUUAUGCCAGCUGAAUGAACAAAGAUACUGUUUUCCUGAAUUUCUACUAUGCACUAAAAUUAAAUACUAUACUAUGAACUUGAAAUUCUUCCAAGCUUGCAAAUAAAAAUAUUUUCUCUU